RNAcentral lists this ribosomal RNA (1426 nucleotides) under Klebsiella sp. RNAcentral's name for it is "bacterial SSU rRNA". It matches the Rfam family "Bacterial small subunit ribosomal RNA". Lineage: Bacteria; Pseudomonadati; Pseudomonadota; Gammaproteobacteria; Enterobacterales; Enterobacteriaceae. The record is from RNAcentral.
UGCAGUCGAGCGGUAGCACAGAGAGCUUGCUCUCGGGUGACGAGCGGCGGACGGGUGAGUAAUGUCUGGGAAACUGCCUGAUGGAGGGGGAUAACUACUGGAAACGGUAGCUAAUACCGCAUAACGUCGCAAGACCAAAGUGGGGGACCUUCGGGCCUCAUGCCAUCAGAUGUGCCCAGAUGGGAUUAGCUAGUAGGUGGGGUAAUGGCUCACCUAGGCGACGAUCCCUAGCUGGUCUGAGAGGAUGACCAGCCACACUGGAACUGAGACACGGUCCAGACUCCUACGGGAGGCAGCAGUGGGGAAUAUUGCACAAUGGGCGCAAGCCUGAUGCAGCCAUGCCGCGUGUAUGAAGAAGGCCUUCGGGUUGUAAAGUACUUUCAGCGAGGAGGAAGGCAUUAAGGUUAAUAACCUUGGUGAUUGACGUUACUCGCAGAAGAAGCACCGGCUAACUCCGUGCCAGCAGCCGCGGUAAUACGGAGGGUGCAAGCGUUAAUCGGAAUUACUGGGCGUAAAGCGCACGCAGGCGGUCUGUCAAGUCGGAUGUGAAAUCCCCGGGCUCAACCUGGGAACUGCAUUCGAAACUGGCAGGCUAGAGUCUUGUAGAGGGGGGUAGAAUUCCAGGUGUAGCGGUGAAAUGCGUAGAGAUCUGGAGGAAUACCGGUGGCGAAGGCGGCCCCCUGGACAAAGACUGACGCUCAGGUGCGAAAGCGUGGGGAGCAAACAGGGAUUAGAUACCCUGGUAGUCCACGCCGUAAACGAUGUCGACUUGGAGGUUGUGCCCUUGAGGCGUGGCUUCCGGAGCUAACGCGUUAAGUCGACCGCCUGGGGAGUACGGCCGCAAGGUUAAAACUCAAAUGAAUUGACGGGGGCCCGCACAAGCGGUGGAGCAUGUGGUUUAAUUCGAUGCAACGCGAAGAACCUUACCUACUCUUGACAUCCAGAGAACUUAGCAGAGAUGCUUUGGUGCCUUCGGGAACUCUGAGACAGGUGCUGCAUGGCUGUCGUCAGCUCGUGUUGUGAAAUGUUGGGUUAAGUCCCGCAACGAGCGCAACCCUUAUCCUUUGUUGCCAGCGGUUCGGCCGGGAACUCAAAGGAGACUGCCAGUGAUAAACUGGAGGAAGGUGGGGAUGACGUCAAGUCAUCAUGGCCCUUACGAGUAGGGCUACACACGUGCUACAAUGGCAUAUACAAAGAGAAGCGACCUCGCGAGAGCAAGCGGACCUCAUAAAGUAUGUCGUAGUCCGGAUUGGAGUCUGCAACUCGACUCCAUGAAGUCGGAAUCGCUAGUAAUCGUAGAUCAGAAUGCUACGGUGAAUACGUUCCCGGGCCUUGUACACACCGCCCGUCACACCAUGGGAGUGGGUUGCAAAAGAAGUAGGUAGCUUAACCUUCGGGAGGGCGCUUACCACUUUGUGAUUCAUGA